UAAUUUCUUUCUCAGCCUGUUUAUCCUUU
Molecule: non-coding RNA, 29 nt
Filed under: Mus musculus (house mouse)
Lineage: Eukaryota; Metazoa; Chordata; Mammalia; Rodentia; Muridae
Also listed under: 1 other name
Source: RNAcentral